GAUGAAGAACGCAGCGAAGUGCGAUAAGUAAUGUGAAUUGCAGAAUUCCGUGAAUCAUCGAAUCUUUGAACGCAAAUUGCACUCUCUGGUAUCCCGGGGAGUAUGCCUGUUUGAGGGUCAGUGUUAAUAAAAAUCGGUGCGUUGCACUUUAUUGUGACGUUCUGGAGUUUGAGUUAUCUUAACUUUUAGGUUAAGAGGCUUAAAAUUGACCUUUUUUUUGUGCAUUUUAGACGUACAUAAAUUUUCUUUUAUUUGUCUUUUAAUGCCAAAAUUAUAUUAGAUGCGACCAUAUCGUGUGGUUUCGUGUCUAUAAAUUUUUCAUGAUUUGACCUCAAAUCAGGUAGGAGUACCCGCUGAACUUAAGCAUAUCAAUAAGCGGAGGA
RNAcentral lists this unclassified non-coding RNA (383 nucleotides) under soil metagenome. RNAcentral's name for it is "partial contains 5.8S ribosomal RNA, internal transcribed spacer 2, and large subunit ribosomal RNA". The stretch from base 1 to 120 matches the Rfam family "5.8S ribosomal RNA", at positions 35 to 154 of the family's 154-position model. The record is from RNAcentral.